Non-coding RNA from Vicugna pacos (alpaca), 174 nucleotides. The record is from RefSeq and is a predicted model, not a curated record. Lineage: Eukaryota; Metazoa; Chordata; Mammalia; Artiodactyla; Camelidae.
CAAAUUUCCAAAAUAACCUUGAAGAAUAGAGCUGGGAGAAUCAUGCUCCCUGAAUUCAGAUUAUACUAUAAAGCUACAGUGAUCAAAAAAGUAUGAUACUGGCACAAAAAUAGACAUAUUGGUCAAUGAAACAGGACAGAAAGCCAAGAAAUAAACCCAUGCACUUAUGGUCAU